UGUGUGGGAAAGACUAAUAAGGUAACCUUUUGUUGUCAGUCUGGAAAGAUAAAUGCUUGGAAGAUGUUUUACUUCUAUCCAUCUUCAACUUUCAAUAAAAGCAAUGAAGAAUUUUUUGUCAAGGCCACACCAAUUUAAUUUCUUGUUCUACGGAUUUUUGGACUCCAAAAUUUGGGGCGAGCGAGCGAUUUGAAAAUUUUAAUAAAAAAAUAUUUAAUUUGCAAAUUUUUUAGGCGAAGCUUGAAAAGUAAAGGCGAGCGAUUAUAAUUUUUUUUUGUAAACAUAAAACAGUAGGUUUUGACAAU
This 305-nucleotide long non-coding RNA is filed under the name Mytilus galloprovincialis (Mediterranean mussel). Lineage: Eukaryota; Metazoa; Mollusca; Bivalvia; Mytilida; Mytilidae. The record is from RNAcentral.